RNAcentral lists this ribosomal RNA (418 nucleotides) under uncultured bacterium. RNAcentral describes it as "bacterial SSU rRNA". It matches the Rfam family "Bacterial small subunit ribosomal RNA", at positions 355 to 786 of the family's 1533-position model. The record is from RNAcentral.
UGGGGAAUAUUGCACAAUGGGGGAAACCCUGAUGCAGCAACGCCGCGUGAAGGAAGACGGUUUUCGGAUUGUAAACUUCUAUCAAUAGGGACGAAGGAAAUGACGGUACCUAAAUAAGAAGCCCCGGCUAACUACGUGCCAGCAGCCGCGGUAAUACGUAGGGGGCAAGCGUUAUCCGGAAUUACUGGGUGUAAAGGGUGAGUAGGCGGCACUGUAAGUAAGAUGUGAAAGCCUUAGGCUUAACCUGAGGAUUGCAUUAUAAACUGCAGAGCUAGAGUACAGGAGAGGAAAGCGGAAUUCCUAGUGUAGCGGUGAAAUGCGUAGAUAUUAGGAAGAACACCAGUGGCGAAGGCGGCUUUCUGGACUGGAAACUGACGCUGAGGCACGAAAGCGUGGGGAGCGAACAGGAUUAGAUACC